GGCGGCGUGCUUACACAUGCAAGUUGCACGCUCUCCCCUGGUCAGCAACCUUCGGGUUAACGUCAGGGAUCGGAGAGUAGCGGACGGGUGAGUAACGCGUGGAGAACCUGUCUUUAAGUAGAGGAUAACCCGGCGAAAGUUGGGCUAAUCCUGUAUAAGCUGACAGAUAAGCAUUUAUCAGUCAGCAAAGGCGGCCUUAGAGCUGUCGCUUAAGGAGGGUUCCGCGUCGGAUUAGCUAGCUGGUGUGGUCACGGCACACCAGGGCAUCGAUCCGUAGCUGGUCUGAGAGGACGAUCAGCCACACUGGGACUGAGACACGGCCCAGACUCCUACGGGAGGCAGCAGUGGGGAAUCUUCCGCAAUGGAGGCAACUCUGACGGAGCAACGCCGCGUGAGUGAAGAAGGCCUUCGGGUUGUGAAGCUCUGUUUACAGGGAAGAACCGCCAUAUAAGCAAAUAGAUAUGGUCUGACGGUAUCUGUAGAGGAAGCCCUGGCCAACUACGUGCCAGCAGCCGCGGUAACACGUAGAGGGCAAGCGUUGUCCGGAAUCAUUGGGCGUAAAGGGUAAGCAGGCUGGUAUGCAAGUCGAAUGUGAAAGUUGACGGCUCAACCGUCAGAUUGCGUUUGAAACUGCAUAUCUUGAGUGCAGCAGAGGGGAGCGGAAUUCCUGGUGGAGCGGUGAAAUGCGUAGAUAUCAGGAAGAACACCAGUGGCGAAGGCGGCUCUCUGGGCCGCAACUGACGCUGAUUUACGAAAGCCAGGGUAGUCAACGGGAUUAGAUACCCCGGUAGUCCUGGCAGUAAACGCUGGACACCAGGUGUUGGAGGUUCGAAUCCUUCAGUGCCAAAGUUAACGCAUUAAGUGUCCCGCCUGGGGAAUACGGUCGCAAGACUGAAACUCAAAGGAAUUGACGGGGGCCCGCACAAGCGGUGGGGCAUGUGGUUUAAUUCGAAGCAACCGCGAAAAACCUUACCGAGGUUUGACAUCCUGUGACUACCUGU
Molecule: ribosomal RNA, 1001 nt
Filed under: uncultured bacterium
Lineage: Bacteria
Description: bacterial SSU rRNA
Rfam family: Bacterial small subunit ribosomal RNA
Source: RNAcentral